AAACUGAAGAGUUUGAUCCUGGCUCAGAUUGAACGCUGGCGGCAUGCCUAACACAUGCAAGUCGAACGGGGGUUUACGGACCCUAGUGGCGGACGGGUGAGUAACGCGUAGGAAUCUGCCUGGUAGUGGGGGACAACCUGGGGAAACUCAGGCUAAUACCGCAUACGCUCGCGAGAGGAAAGCAGGGGAUCUUCGGACCUUGCGCUAUCAGAGGAGCCUACGUCCGAUUAGCCAGUUGGUGGGGUAACGGCCCACCAAAGCGACGAUCGGUAGCUGGUCUGAGAGGAUGAUCAGCCUGACUGGAACU
RNAcentral lists this ribosomal RNA (307 nucleotides) under Candidatus Competibacteraceae bacterium. RNAcentral describes it as "bacterial SSU rRNA". It matches the Rfam family "Bacterial small subunit ribosomal RNA", at positions 1 to 320 of the family's 1533-position model. The record is from RNAcentral. Lineage: Bacteria; Pseudomonadati; Pseudomonadota; Gammaproteobacteria; Candidatus Competibacteraceae.